This 1132-nucleotide long non-coding RNA is filed under the name Olea europaea subsp. europaea. The record is from RNAcentral. Lineage: Eukaryota; Viridiplantae; Streptophyta; Magnoliopsida; Lamiales; Oleaceae.
CGGAAAUCAAUCUCUCCUCCUUCCACCCUGUCCCAACGAGGCAGGGAAUUUUAAGGGACUAGGAUUGCUGGUUUUCUUUCGGAUCAAGAAACUGAACGAGGCUCGAGUCGUGCGUGGUUUAAGGCCAUGAUGGAGAAAUUUGUGGCGAAAAUAACUGAUGCAGCCAGUGAGGGGAAGAAACUUGGAGUUGAAGAUCCAAGAAGAAUUAUUCACUCAUUGAAAGUAGGAUUGGCCAUAACUUUAGUUUCACUGUUCUAUUACUUUGACACUUUAUACCAAGGUUUUGGCGUUUCUGCAAUGUGGGCAGUUAUCACUGUGGUCGUCGUCUUUGAAUUCUCUGUAGGUAAGUUCAUGACGGUUGGUUGUGCUAACUAAGUUACUUAUUUCGCCCAACAAAACAUUUUUUUUUCCUUUCAGAAGGCAAGUUUAAGUUGCUUUCUAGAAAAAUAACUUGGUAUAAAGCACAUGCCAAACAUGGUUUCCUGGAAAUUCUUUAAGAGUUUAAACUUAUAGAAGUAAUCCUUUAUUUUGCAGGGGCGACGCUUGGAAGAGGCGUAAAUAGAGCUAUUGCAACAUUGUUAGCGGGCUCACUAGGCGUUGGAGCACAUCGGUUAGCCAAUAUUCUUGGGGAGAAAUUAGAGCCUGUAUUUCUUGGAUUUUCUGUUUUCUUAGUAGGUAAAAAAUAAAUAUAUAUAUCCACUGGAAGCGUGUUUGAUAAACAGCAUUGGUUUAGGCUACUACAAAUAAGAUUUUUAACAUAUUUUUGUUGCUAAAAGUUGAUAAAUUAAUGUACCUAGCACAUAUAAGAAACAUCCAGUUUUUAUGUAUUUAGACCAUCAUCAAAUUAAUUAUUGUUUUAAAUCCAAAUGGUGCAGUUUCUUCAGUAACUUUUAUCAGAUUUCAUCCUAAAUUGAAGGCAAGAUUUGACUAUGGACUUCUGAUAUUUAUCUUGACAUUCUGUUUAAUAUCCGUCUCUGGCUACCGGGACGACGAGGUUUUGAAAAUGGCACAUAAAAGGUUGUCCACAAUCCUCAUCGGUGGCUCGGCUGCUGUGGUGGUUUGCAGUUUCAUAUGCCCUAUAUGGGCUGGUGAAGAUCUUCAUAAUCUCAUUGCAGGCAACAUCGAAAAUCUG